RNAcentral lists this ribosomal RNA (484 nucleotides) under uncultured bacterium. RNAcentral's name for it is "partial 16S ribosomal RNA". It matches the Rfam family "Bacterial small subunit ribosomal RNA", at positions 30 to 507 of the family's 1533-position model. The record is from RNAcentral.
AUUGAACGCUGGCGGCAGGCCUAACACAUGCAAGUCGAGCGGAUGAAGGGAGCUUGCUCCUGGAUUCAGCGGCGGACGGGUGAGUAAUGCCUAGGAAUCGGCCAGGUAGUGGGGGAUAACGUCCGGAAACGGGCGCUAAUACCGCAUACGUCCUGAGGGAGAAAGUGGGGGAGCUUCGGACCCCAGGCUAUCAGAUGAGCCUAGGUCGGAUUAGCUAGUUGGUGGGGUAAAGGCCUACCAAGGCGACGAUCCGUAACUGGUCUGAGAGGAUGAGCAGUCACACUGGAACUGAGACACGGUCCAGACUCCUACGGGAGGCAGCAGUGGGGAAUAUUGGACAAUGGGCGAAAGCCUGAUCCAGCCAUGCCGCGUGUGUGAAGAAGGUCUUCGGAUUGUAAAGCACUUUAAGUUGGGAGGAAGGGCAGUAAGUUAAUACCUUGCUGUUUUGACGUUACCAACAGAAUAAGCACCGGCUAACUUCGUG